This 479-nucleotide ribosomal RNA is filed under the name Gnathanodon speciosus (golden trevally). RNAcentral describes it as "partial small subunit ribosomal RNA". It matches the Rfam family "Bacterial small subunit ribosomal RNA", at positions 788 to 1491 of the family's 1533-position model. Lineage: Eukaryota; Metazoa; Chordata; Actinopteri; Carangiformes; Carangidae. The record is from RNAcentral.
CACUAUGCUUAGCCCUAAACAUCGAUCGUUUACUACAUCAAACAUCCGCCUGGGAAUUACGAACACUAGUUUAAAACCCAAAGGACUUGGCGGUGCUUAACAUCCACCUAGAGGAGCCUGUUCUAGAACCGAUAAUCCCCGUUCAACCUCACCCCCCCUAGCUUUUUCCGCCUAUAUACCACCGUCGCCAGCUUACCCUGUGAAGGGCUAAUAGUAAGCAUAAUCGGCACAGCCCAAAACGUCAGGUCGAGGUGUAGUGCAUGGGAGGGGAAGAAAUGGGCUACAUUCGCUGCCUUACAGCGAACACGAAUGAUGCAUUGAAACAUGCAACUGAAGGAGGAUUUAGCAGUAAGCAGAAAGUAGAGUGUUCCGCUGAAGCCGGCUCUUAAGCGCGCACACACCGCCCGUCACCCUCCCCAAGCAACUGGACCCGAACUUUUCCUAAGCCCAAACAACCGCAAAGGAGAGGAAAGUCGUAA